This is a small nuclear RNA of Sorex fumeus (smoky shrew), 102 nucleotides long. Lineage: Eukaryota; Metazoa; Chordata; Mammalia; Eulipotyphla; Soricidae. The record is from RefSeq and is a predicted model, not a curated record.
UCAUUUUAUGAAAUGCUUAUAGUGAUAUUGGAGCAAUAGAGAAGAUUGGUAUGAUACCCAUGCUAGGCUGAUAGGCAAAUAUGUGAACAAUUUUUAAUUUUU